RNAcentral lists this ribosomal RNA (460 nucleotides) under uncultured bacterium. RNAcentral describes it as "partial 16S ribosomal RNA". It matches the Rfam family "Bacterial small subunit ribosomal RNA", at positions 338 to 795 of the family's 1533-position model. The record is from RNAcentral.
CCUACGGGAGGCAGCAGUGAGGAAUAUUGGUCAAUGGACGAGAGUCUGAACCAGCCAAGUAGCGUGAAGGAUGACUGCCCUAUGGGUUGUAAACUUCUUUUAUAUGGGAAUAAAAUGUUCCACGUGUGGGAUUUUGUAUGUACCAUAUGAAUAAGGAUCGGCUAACUCCGUGCCAGCAGCCGCGGUAAUACGGAGGAUCCGAGCGUUAUCCGGAUUUAUUGGGUUUAAAGGGAGCGUAGGUGGAUUGUUAAGUCAGUUGUGAAAGUUUGCGGCUCAACCGUAAAAUUGCAGUUGAAACUGGCAGUCUUGAGUACAGUAGAGGUGGACGGAAUUCGUGGUGUAGCGGUGAAAUGCUUAGAUAUCACGAAGAACUCCGAUGGCGAAGGCAGUUCACUGGACUGCAACUGACACUGAGGCUCGAAAGUGUGGGUAUCAAACAGGAUUAGAUACCCCGGUAGUC